GACGAACGCUGGCGGCGUGCUUAACACAUGCAAGUCGAACGGAAAGGCCCGGCUUUUGUGGGGUGCUCGAGUGGCGAACGGGUGAGUAACACGUGAGUAACCUGCCCUUGACUUUGGGAUAACUUCAGGAAACUGGGGCUAAUACCGGAUAGGAGCUCCUGCUGCAUGGUGGGGGUUGGAAAGUUUCGGCGGUUGGGGAUGGACUCGCGGCUUAUCAGCUUGUUGGUGGGGUAGUGGCUUACCAAGGCUUUGACGGGUAGCCGGCCUGAGAGGGUGACCGGCCACAUUGGGACUGAGAGACGGGCCAGACUCCUACGGGAGGCAGCAGUGGGGAAUAUUGCACAAUGGGCGGAAGCGUGAUGCAGCAACGCCGCGUGCGGGAUGACGGCCUUCGGGUUGUAAACCGCUUUCGCCUGUGACGAAGCGGGAGUGACGGUAAUGGGUAAAGAAGCACCGGCUAACUACGUG
This 468-nucleotide ribosomal RNA is filed under the name uncultured bacterium. RNAcentral describes it as "partial 16S ribosomal RNA". It matches the Rfam family "Bacterial small subunit ribosomal RNA", at positions 28 to 507 of the family's 1533-position model. The record is from RNAcentral.